RNAcentral lists this ribosomal RNA (1244 nucleotides) under metagenome. Its description in RNAcentral is "bacterial LSU rRNA". It matches the Rfam family "Bacterial large subunit ribosomal RNA", at positions 1564 to 2819 of the family's 2925-position model. The record is from RNAcentral.
UGAAUACGAGACGCUAAGGCGUCGAAGUAGUGUAUGUCAUACUUCCAAGAAAAGCUUGCACUGUCAUAGAUAAAAAACGCCUGUACCAUAACCGACACAGGUGGGUAGGUAGAGUAUACUAAGGGGCGCGAGAUAACUCUCUCUAAGGAACUCGGCAAAAUAACUCCGUAACUUCGGGAGAAGGAGUGCCUUAUUCGUAAGGUUGCAAUAACAAGAUCAAGCAACUGUUUAUCAAAAACACAGGUCUCCGCUAAGUCGUAAGACGAUGUAUGGGGGCUGACGCCUGCCCAGUGCCAGAAGGUUAAAGAAGUUGGUUAGCAAUUGCGAAGCUGAUAACUGAAGCCCUGGUGAACGGCGGCCGUAACUAUAACGGUCCUAAGGUAGCGAAAUUCCUUGUCGGGUAAGUUCCGACCCGCACGAAAGGCGUAAUGAUUUGGAUACUGUCUCGGAGAGGGGCUCGGUGAAAUAGACUUGUCUGUGAAGAUGCGGACUACCUGCACCAGGACAGAAAGACCCUAUGAAGCUUUACUGUAACUUGAAAUUGAAAUUGGACUUUAUUCGCGCAGUAUAGGUGGGAGGCGUUGAUUAUAAUCUUGUGGGAUUAUUGGAGCCAUCAGUGAGAUACCACUCUUGUAAUGUUAGAUUUCUAACUUUGAAUCAUUAUCUGGUCAAAGAACAGUUUCAGGCGGGCAGUUUGACUGGGGCGGUCGCCUCCUAAACGGUAACGGAGGCGUACAAAGGUUUCCUCUGAACGGUUAGAAAUCGUAUCUAGAGUGUAAAGGCAUAAGGAAGCUUGACCGUGAGACCUACAAGUCGAGCAGGGACGAAAGUCGGUCUUAGUGAUCUGACGGUACUGAGUGGAAAGGCCGUCACUCAACGGAUAAAAGUUACUCUAGGAUAACAGGCUGAUCUCCCCCAAGAGUUCACAUCGACGGGGAGGUUUGGCACCUCGUUGUCGGCUCAUCGCAUCCUGGGGCGGUAGUACGUCCCAAGGGUUGGGCUGUUCGCCCAUGAAAGCGGUACGCGAGCUGGGUUCAGAACGUCGUGAGACAGUUCGGUCCAUAUCCGGUGUAGGUGUUAGAAUAUUGAGAGGAGCCUUCUUUAGUACGAGAGGACCGAGAAGGACAUACCUCUGGUGUACCAGUUAUCGUGCCAACGGUAAACGCUGGGUAGCUAUGUAUGGAGUGGAUAACCGCUGAAAGCAUCUAGGUGGGAAGCCCACCUCAAGAUAAGUAUUCUCAUCA